GAUGAACGCUAGCUACAGGCUUAACACAUGCAAGUCGAGGGGCAGCGGUAUCGCAAGCUUGCUUUCGUAGCCGGCGACCGGCGCACGGGUGAGUAACGCGUAUCGAACCUGCCUCAUACUCGGGAAUAGCCUUGCGAAAGUAAGAUUAAUGCCCGGUGUUUUCAGAGUCCCGCAUGAGGCUUUGAACAAAGAUUUAUCGGUAUGAGAUGGCGAUGCGUCCCAUUAGCUUGUUGGCGGGGUAACGGCCCACCAAGGCAUCGAUGGGUAGGGGUUCUGAGAGGAAGGUCCCCCACAUUGGAACUGAGACACGGUCCAAACUCCUACGGGAGGCAGCAGUGAGGAAUAUUGGUCAAUGGGCGGAAGCCUGAACCAGCCAAGUAGCGUGCAGGAAGACGGCCCUCCGGGCUGUAAACUGCUUUUAGUUGGGAAUAAAACGGGGCUCGUGAGCCCCCUUGCAUGUACCAUCAGAAAAAGGACCGGCUAAUUCCGUG
This 491-nucleotide ribosomal RNA is filed under the name uncultured bacterium. RNAcentral's name for it is "partial 16S ribosomal RNA". It matches the Rfam family "Bacterial small subunit ribosomal RNA", at positions 28 to 507 of the family's 1533-position model. The record is from RNAcentral.